UAUACCUACUUAGGUCAAAUGAAAGGGUUUAUUUUUAUUCAUAUUUAGAAAAAUUCUGAGGCUCAUUAAGAUGAAUGCACUAUAAUCAAUUUAUAAUUUUUCAUUCAAGUUACAUCAAAUUAUACAAUUAUAUCAAAAUCAUGGAGCAAUGUGCUACUUCUUUUUCGUGAUAUUUCUUUUCUUGUUAUCUCCUAUUAAGAACUUUAACAAACAAAAAUUACAAUCCUUCAAGGUAGAGAUAUAUACAAUGUGGAUUUCUUUGUUUUGUUAGAAAAUACAUCUUUAUUGUUACCAAAUCUAGCACAAACAUUGCUUGUCUCUUAGAAAUAGAAGUGAAUAUGAAGUAUUCCAUUAAUAGUAUAACAUGGAGAACAAUCUCAGGAACAGACCUUUUUAUACAGACCUUUUGGUUCUUAUCUGUGUAGCUUCUAUAAUCCGAAACCACAUGCCUCUUUAAAUUCAAACCAGAUUUUGAGUGAAGUCUUGCUGGGAGCCCUUAGCAGGAAAAACCCACUGGCCUCACUAGAACCAUUAUAUUGGUUAUUCCAAACCACAACCGUUCUAUGUUUACUUCUCUUUGGAGUUUGAUGGGGCUGUGGUGGAUGAUCUAACACUUAAACAGACUGCGAUACAAAGACAAGUUAAAUAUGGUAAUAAUAGGCUAUCUGAGAUUUGAGUUUGUGAUUUCCCUAAGAAUAAAUCUGUGCGGUGUAAUAUGAUGUAAAGGUGUGUCAGUGAGUGUAUCAUUAUCAAAGGGUGGUGUAUGCAUCUCAAUAUUGUACUUUUCCUCUGAAAUACAACACAGAACCAACAAGAACCCACCCUUUUAAAAUCCAGACUGCACACUCAAACUAUGACCUCACUGAGAAGGUCAACUCCAAGCACUCUUUAAUGUUUGAGGAGAGGAUAUGCAACACAAAGUCAUUUCAGAUGAAUCUCCAUAAUGGUUUUAGGAAGCUGCCUGGAUAUGUUUAUCAUUUCUGAGAUGAUGCGAUUUAAUGUGUAUCUGAUAAGUAAGAAUCCCCUAUAGUCCCCAACAAGUAGCCUAACAUCCUUUGAUGAUAGAGCAGACCCGGUUCUACAGGGGUGCUUGAGGGUGCUAUAAGCACCAUCAAACAAAAGCAAGAGUACCCUCUGUUGAUACUGUAAUAAUAUCAUAUUGACUAAACAGAUUGACAAAUGCUUGUAUAAGUGCGUAUUUGUGUUUGCACUCUGGAGCACAUCAAGUGUAUCUAUUUACAAUGUGUUUUUGCAGCAGUGUGCAAUGUAGCCAAUCACAGACAUGUUUUUUGAUCUCUGGAACGCAUUGGCCAAUCAGAGGUGUUUAAUUUAGUCAAAAUCCACUCAACACUAGAGUUUUUGUUCAGCAAUGAGUUCCGUGCGCUGUCAAAGAACUUAUACUGACAAGAAGUGAAACUCAAUAGAACGUUCCAUUGCAACACCAGCACCCAGCAGCAGCCCUACACUUCCAACAUUUUGGGGUGAAAGCGACUCGGCAGUCCUCUAGUUUCUAUGGCAAUAUCAACUGCUUUGUUAAAAAAAAAAAAAAGUACAUUAAAGCUAAAAUCCAACCUGAAUGAUGACAACACAGAAUAAAAUACUAUCACUAGUGAUCAUCAAAUCCUUUUAACAGUUUAUUUUAUGGACUUUGUGUUUGGUAAGCGAAACAAGUGAAACAAGUGAAACUUUGUGCUUGGUAAGAGAAACAAGUGUCCAAUGAACGUUAAAAAACGUCAAUAACAACUAGUUGUUCAGUUCAGUUCCAUACACACUGCAUAGAAUUUCUGUAAAUGCGAUUGUCACUACCUGUAUUUUUCGGGAGUUAAUUCGGUUGUAGAAUGUGGUUGUCACUCCCGUAUUUUACAGAACUGUGUGUGUACAGAAUGCGAUUAAGCACUAAAAGGUGAACUGACAACCAAAUUUAGCUGCGGUGUGUACGUGGCCUUUGACGCUGUAAAUACGAGAUUCAUUGUGUAGUGUAGACAACUUCAUUGAUUAUAAAGAACAUUUGUGAGAUUGCGAUGAACUUAGAUGAAUGGCAGUUUUUUAGAGAUUAUAAAAAAGGGAGGCUACGCCUCCGAGGCUAUAGGCUAAUCCAUUGAAUAAAAGUUUUGUUUUUCAUGACGGCCAAUUACAAGCUGCAAAGUUUCGGAAGUGACGUCUAAAUAAAUAUAAAUAUUCUCGAAAAUGCAAUGAUUGACGUAGUUGAUUACCAUGUCACGGGACAAAAAUAUGACAUGUCAAAAUCUAUGCAUUACAAACAAUGCAAAUGCAGACUAGCCUAGAUCAAUACAAAAUAUUAACAUUUUUGUAUCAAAAUAUUUAUUUGUAAAAAUAAUGACUUGUAAAUAAUCUGAAAUGUUUCACUAUAUACAUUGCUAUUCUUGCUAUGGUGGAGCCGUUUGCUUACACAUUACAUGCACUUUACUAGAGCAGCCUUACUAAUUUCAGAAGCACCCUCAAUGAUUUGAUUCUUGAACCGGGCCUGUGCUAGAGCUUGAGAAAUUUAUAUAUAAAUAGACUAAAUAUUCAUCACAACUUUCUGUCCAAGGAGAAAGAAAGAAAGAUACAGGUUUAGAACAAUAUAUUAAUUCAUUCUUUUGGGUCCAUUUUUUAGAAGUGUUUUUGCGCCAUCGUGUGGCAACAUUUUUUAAUUAAAAAUACGUUUUCAUUUCUUUCUGACCUGGCAUUAAAGGUGCACAUGAGUCAUGACACUUUAAAACAAGAGGGGUUUUUAUAAAAUAUACAAAAUUACAAAAUCUUAACUUAUUACAUAUUCCAAGCUGAUAUGUCUAAAAGUAAACGUGUCCAGCUACACAGAAACAUGUUUAUGCUCUCUAUAUAUUGGAUAACAUCAAGUCACAUAGAUUGAAUUAUCCUUUUAUUUUGAAGCAGAUUUUGAUGCUAGAAAGAUAGGCCUACCUCUAAAAGAAACAGAACACUAAGCAUGAAAGACUUGCAUAUGGAUUUUCAUCUGCAUUGCUGAAAUUACAGAAAUAAGAGAAAAUUCUGGGUGGAGUAAAAACAGUGGGAGUAAAAAGAAGAUUGAAUUACUUCAAGAUCUUUAGGAAUACAUGCACAAGAAAGGAAAGAAAUCUAAACUAUAAACAGGUUUUGCUCAUAAAAUUAAGACUAAUUAAAUUUAUUUUCAGCAUUCUAUAAUAAUACUUUUAAAAUAUGCACAUUUUGAUGACUAAUAUUUUUAGUGAUUAAGAAUUAACUUAUGAAACUGCACAUGAGUGACAAGAGUUGUUAUGGAUGGGGUGAAUGUGAUUAGACUUUGGCCUAUUACAGCAAUCCCUCUUGACACACACCCCAAAACGCCCAAGUUAACCAUUAGUUUUGGGGGGAAAGUGCACGUGUUAGCAAUAUUUGAAGCUUCUCUCCACACUGUAAAAAGUCAUUUCAACUUACUUUGAAUUUUGUAUAACUAAUAAAAUUUAAAAUAUCGAUAAAAUUUCAAAUAUCAAUAAGUUAAAGUAAUGUAAAAACAUGUUGUCAUGACUUAUUGAAUUAUUAUUAUUUUUUUUUUAAAUGUCAGUUUUAUAGUGCAGUUUCUUCAUAGUACAGUAUCUCGCUCUCAUCCCUUCACCAUAUCUCAGGCAAAUUCCUCAUGACAUGCUAGUUUUACUCAGCUUCUGCCAUUUGUUUUUGAACAUAACAUCAAUAGCACGCAAUUAGAUAAACGAAGCAGACAGCCACAACAUGGUAACCUAAUUGUAGGUGUCGCAAGAACAUUGUACUACUGACCCUUGGAGGGCGGAGCAUAAACACAGAACAUAUGAGGAUGAAAAGUUGGCGAAUCACUCUAAUCUUGGACACUUCCCAGCCAAAAUGCCACUGGAGCUGUAUCUCAAUCUGCAUUCCCAGCCAUGCCGCUUAGUCUUCCUAUUUGCCAAGAUAAAUAAAAUUCCCUUGAAUUCAAAGCCAUGGAUUUAUCUGUAGGUGAUUUAUUUUUGUUUUAAUCUAGCUGUUUUAUGGAGUUGUGCACUGGAGUCUUGAUGUAAGCUGUUUUACCUGAUCUACGUAUCUAACCCUUAAAUGUAGUUUUAUUGGUUUAACAUAAUGUAUUUUGGUUGAUAAAGUGAAUGUUUUUUGAAAAAAUCACAUUUUAUAUAAAGCAUAUUUUUAGGUUAAUGUUAUAUUCCAGUGUGCAUGCAAAAGCAUUUGGUUUCAGUGAAAUAGUUUUCUGUUGGCUAUGAGAUCUCAAUGACGGUCGGUUUUGGUGGGUUACAAGAUCUCAAUGACGGUUGGAUUUGCUUGGUUUUGAGAUUUCAAUGGCGGUCAGUUUUGCUGGGUUAUGAGAUUUCAAAGACGGUCGGUAUUGUUUCGUUACGAGUUUUUAAUGACGGUCGGUUGUGUUCCUUUGCGAAACGGUUUUGGUUACGAGACCUCAAUGACAGUCGUUUUUGCUGGGUUAUGCGAUCUCAGUGAUGGUAGGUUUUGGUGGGUUAUGAGAUCUAAGUGAUGGUAGGUUUUCAGUGUCAAUCGCUUUUUUCAUUACGCAAUUUCAAAUACGGUCAAUUUUGGUGGGUUACAUGAUCUCAGUAACGGUAGGUUUUGGUGGGUUAUGAAAUCUCAAUGAUGGUAGGUUUUCAGUGUCAAUCGUUUUUUUUCAUUACGAAACUUCAAAUACGGUCAAUUUUGGUGGGUUACGUGAUCUCAGUAACGGUAGGUUUUACUGGGUUACGUGGUCUUAGUGAUGGUAGGUUUUUUAUUACGAGAUUUCAAAAACGGUCAGUUUUGUUCCUUUGCGAAACGAUUUUGGUUACGAGAUCUCAAUUAUGUCAUUUUUGCUGGGUUAUGAGAUCUCAGUGAUGGAAGGUUUUGGUGGGUUACAAAAUCUCAGUGAUGGCUUUCAGUGCCAAUUGUUUUUUCCUUUUCAUUACGAGAUUUCAAAGACGGUAGGUUUUACUAAGUUACAAGUUUUCAAUCGCAGUCAGUUUUGGUGGGUUAUGAAAUCUCAAUGACAGUCGGUUUUGCUGGGUUAUGAGAUGUCAGUAACGGUAGGUUUUGGGGGUUACAAGAUCUCAGUGAUGGUAGGUUUUCAGUGUUUUUUUCAUUUAGAGAUUUCAAAUACGGUCAAUUUUGGUGGGUUACAUGAUCUAAGUGAUGGUAGGUUUCGGUGGGUUACGACAUCUCAAUGAUAGUAGGUUUUGCUGGAUUAUGAGAUUUCGAAGACAUAACCGGGUUACGAAAUUUCAGUGAUGGUAGGUUUUCAGUGUCAGUCAGUGUUUUCAUUAUGAGAUUUUAAAUACGGUCAAUUUGGUGGGUUACGUGAUCUCAGUGAUGGUAGGUUUUGGUGGGUUAAGAAAUCUCAAUAACGGUCUGUUUUGCUGAGUUAUGAGAUCUCAGUGACGGUAGGUUUUGGUGGGUUACAAGAUCUCAGUGAUGGUAGGUUUUGGUGGGUUAUGAGAUCUCAAUGAUGGUAGGUUUUGCUGGGUUAUGAGAUUUUAAAGACAGUCGGUAUUGUUUCGCUACGAGUUUUCAAUGACGUUCGGUUUUGUUCCAUUGCGAAACGGUUUUGGUUACGAGAUCUCAAUGACAGUCGGUUUUGCUGGGUUUCGAGAUUUCAAAGAUGGUCAGUAUUGUUUCAUUACGAGUUUUCAAUGGCAGUCGGUUUUGGUGGAUUGCGAGUUCGCAAUGAUGGUAUGUUUUCAGUGUCAGUCGUUUUUUUUAUUACGAGAUUUCAAAAACAGUCGGUUUUGCUUUGUUACGAGUUUUCAAUGGCGGUCGGUUUUGGUGGAUUACGUGAUCUUAGUGAUGGUAGGUUUUGGUGGGUUGCGAGAUCUCAAUGACAAAUAGAUUUUCUGGGUUAUGAGAUUUCAAUGAUGGUCGGUUUUGUUCGGUUACGAGAUCUCAAUGGUGGUCGGUUUUGCUGGUUACGAGUUUUCAAUGGCAGCUAGUUUUGGUGGGUUACGUGAUCUCAGUGAUGGUAGAUUUUGGUGGGUUACGAGAUCUCAGUGACGGUAGGUUUUCAGUGUCAGUCGUAUUUUUUUUUGUUACGAGAUUUCAAUGGCGGUCGGUUUUGGUGGGUUAUGUGAUCUCAGUGAUGGUAGGUUUUGGUGGGUUACGAGAUCUCAAUGGCGGUCAGUUUUGCUGGCUUAUGAGAUUGCAAAGACGGUCGGUAUUGUUUCGUUACAAGUUUUGAAUGGCGUUCGGUUUUGGUGGGUUGCGGGAUCUCAAUGACGGUAGGUUUUCAGUGUCGGUCGUUUUUUCAUUACGAGAUUUCAAAGACGGUCGGUUUUCUUUUGUUAACAGUUUUCAAAGGCGGUCGGUUUUGUUCCUUUGCGAAACGGUUUUGGUUACGAGAUCUCAAUGACGGUCAGUUUUGGUGGGUUACAUGAUCUAAGUAACGGUAGGUUUUGGUGGGUUACGAGAUCUCAAUGACGGUAGGUUUUGGUGGGUUACGAGAUCUCAAUGACGGUUGGUUUUCAGUGUCAGUCAUUUUUUUUCAUCACAAGAUUUCAAAUACGGUCAAUUUUGGUGGGUUACGUGAUCUCAGUGAUGGUAGGUUUUGGUGAGUUUCGAGAUCUCAAUGAUGGUAUGUUUUUCUGGGUUAUGAGAUUUCAAAGACGGUCGGUAUUGUUUCAUCACAAGUUUUUAAUGACGGUCGGUUUUGUUGGGUUACGUGAUCUCAGUGAUGGUAGGUUUUGCUGAGUUAUGAGAUCUCACUGACGGUAGGUUUUGGUGGGUUACAAGAUAUCAGUGAUGGUAGGUUUUGGUGGGUUAUGAGAUCUCAAUGAUGGUAGGUUUUGCUGGGUUAUGAGAUUUUAAAGACAGUCGGUAUUGUUUCGCUACGAGUUUUCAAUGACGUUCGGUUUUGUUCUAUUGCGAAACGGUUUUGGUUACGAGAUCUCAAUGACAGUCGGUUUUGCUGGGUUUCGAGAUUUCAAAGACGGUCAGUUUUGUUUCGUUACGAGUUUUCAAUGGCCGUCGGUUUUGGUGGGGUACGUGAUCUCAGUGAUGGUAGGUUUUGCUGGGUUGCGAGAUCUCAAUGACAAAUAGAUUUGCUGGGUUAUUAGAUUUCAAUGAUGGUCGGUUUUGUUCGGUUACGAGAUCUCAAUGGCGGUCGGUUUUGCUGGGUUACGAGAUUUCAAUGGCGGUCAGUUUUGGUGGGUUAUGUGAUCUCAUUGAUGGUAAGUUUUCAAUAUCAGUCAUUUUUUUAUUACGAGAUUUCAAAUACGGUCAAUUUUGGUGGGUUACGUGAUCUCAGUGAUGGUAGAUUUUGGUGGGUUAGGAGAUCUCAGUGACGGUAGGUUUUCAGUGUCAGUCGUAUUUUUUUUAUUACGAGAUUUCAAUGGCGGUCAGUUUUGGUGGGUUAUGUGAUCUCAGUGAUGGUAGGUUUUGGUGGGUUACGAGAUCUCAAUGGCGGUCAGUUUUGCUGGCUUAUGAGAUUGCAAAGACAGUCGGUUUUGUUUCGUUACGAGUUUUGAAUGGCGUUCGGUUUUGGUGGGUUGCGGGAUCUCAAUGACGGUAGGUUUUCAGUGUCGGUCGUUUUUUCAUUACGAGAUUUCAAAGACGGUCGGUUUUCUUUUGUUAACAGUUUUCAAAGGCGGUCGGUUCUGUUCCUUUGCGAAACGGUUUUGGUUACGAGAUCUCAAUGACAGUCGGUUUUGCUGGGUUUCGAGAUUUCAAAGACGGUCGAUAUUGUUUCAUUACGAGUUUUCAAUGGCAGUCGGUUUUGGUGGGUUGCGAGAUCGCAAUGAUGGUAUGUUUUCAGUGUCAGUCUUUUUUUUAUUACGAGAUUUCAAAAACAGUCGGUUUUGUUUCGUUACGAGUUUUCAAUGGCCGUCGGUUUUGGUGGGGUACGUGAUCUUAGUGAUGGUAGGUUUUGCUGGGUUGCGAGAUCUCAAUGACAAAUAGAUUUGCUGGGUUAUUAGAUUUCAAUGAUGGUCGGUUUUGUUCGGUUACAAGAUCUCAAUGGCGGUCGGUUUUGCUGGGUUACUAGAUUUCAAUGGCCGUCAGUUUUGGUGGGUUAUGUGAUCUCAUUGAUGGUAAGUUUUCAAUAUCAGUCAUUUUUUUAUUACGAGAUUUCAAAUACGGUCAAUUUUGGUGGGUUACGUGAUCUCAGUGAUGGUAGGUUUUGGUGGGGUACGAGAUCUCAAUGACGGUAGGUUUUGGUGGGUUACGAGAGCUCAAUGACGGUUGGUUUUCAGUGUCAGUCUUUUUUUUUCAUCACAAGAUUUCAAAUACGGUCAAUUUUGGUGGGUUAUGUGAUUUUAGUAACGGUAGGUUUUGGAAGGUUACAAGAUCUCAGCAAUGGUAGGUUUUCAGUGUCAGUCAUUUUUUUUCAUUGCGAGAGUUCAAAUACGGUCAAUUUGGUGGGUUAUGUGAUCUCAGUGAUGAUAGGAUUUGGUGGGUUAAGAGAUCUCAAUAACGGUCUGUUUUGCUGAGUUAUGAGAUCUCAGUGACGGUAGGUUUUGGUGGGUUACAAGAUCUCAGUGAUGGUAGGUUUUGGUGGGUUAUGAGAUCUCAAUGAUGGUAGGUUUUGCUGGGUUAUGAGAUUUUAAAGACAGUCGGUAUUGUUUCGCUACGAGUUUUCAAUGACAUUCGGUUUUGUUCCAUUGCGAAACGGUUUUGGUUACGAGAUCUCAAUGACAGUCGGUUUUGCUGGGUUUUGAGAUUUCAAAGACGGUCGGUAUUGUUUUUUUACGAGUUUUCAAUGGCAGUCGGUUUUGGUUGGUUGCGAGAUCGCAAUGAUGGUAUGUUUUCAGUGUCAGUCGUUUUUUUUAUUACGAGAUUUCAAAAACAGUCAGUUUUGUUUCAUUACGAGUUUUCAAUGGCCGUCGGUUUUGGUGGGUUACGUGAUCUUAUUGAUGGUAGGUUUUGGUGGGUUGCGAGAUCUCAAUGACCGUAGGUUUUGGUGGGUUACGAGGUCUCAAUGACGGUUGGUUUUCUGUGUCAGUCAUUUUUUUCAUUACGAGAUUUCAAAUACGGUCAAUUUUGGUGGGUUACGUGAUCUCAGUGAUGGUAGGUUUUGGUGGGUUUAGAGGUCUCAAUGAUGGUAUGUUUUGCUGGGUUAUGAGAUUUCAAAGACGAUCGGUAUUGUUUCGUUACGAGUUUUCAAUGACGAUCGGUUUUGUUCCUUCGCGAAACGGUUUUGGUUACGAGAUCUCAAUGGCGGUCGGUUUUGCUGGGUUACGAAAUUUCAAAGAUGGUCGGUAUUGUUUCGUUACCAGUUUUCAAUGGCGGUCGGUUUUGGUGGGUUAUGAGAUUUCAAUGACGUCGGUAUUGUUUCAUUACCAGUUUUCAAUGACAGUCGGUUUUGUUGGGUUACGUGAUCUCUGUGAUGGUAGGUUUUGCUGGGUUAUGAGAUUUCAAUGAUGGUCGGUUUUGUUCGGUUACGAGAUCUCAAUGGCCGUCGUUUUUUUUAUUACGAGAUUUCAAAAACAGUCGGUUUUGUUUCGUUACGAGUUUUCAGUGGCGGUCGGUUUUGGUGGGUUACGUGAUCUCAGUGAUGGUAGGUUUUGGCGGGUUACGAAACUUCAGUGAUGAUAGGUUUUCAGUGUCAGUCUGUUUUCAUUAUAAGAUUUCAAAUACGGUCAAUUUUGGUGGGUUGUGUGAUUUUAGUAACGGUAGGUUUUGGAAGGUUACAAGAUCUCAGCAAUGGUAGGUUUUCAGUGUCAGUCUGUUUUCAUUACGAGAGUUCAAAUACGGUCAAUUUGGUGGGUUAUGUGAUCUCAGUGAUGGUAGGAUUUGGUGGGUUAAGAGAUCUCAAUAACGGUCUGUUUUGCUGAGUUAUGAGAUCUCAGUGACGGUAGGUUUUGGUGGGUUACAAGAUCUCAGUGAUGGUAGGUUUUGGUGGGUUAUGAGAUCUCAAUGAUGGUAGGUUUUGCUGGGUUAUGAGAUUUUAAAGACAGUCGGUAUUGUUUCGCUACGAGUUUUCAAUGACGUUCGGUUUUGUUCCAUUGCGAAACGGUUUUGGUUACGAGAUCUCAAUGACAGUCGGUUUUGCUGGGUUUUGAGAUUUCAAAGACGGUCGGUAUUGUUUUUUUACGAGUUUUCAAUGGUAGUCGGUUUUGGUUGGUUGCGAGAUCGCAAUGAUGGUAUGUUUUCAGUGUCAGUCGUUUUUUUUAUUACGAGAUUUCAAAAACAGUCAGUUUUGUUUCAUUACGAGUUUUCAAUGGCCGUCGGUUUUGGUGGGUUACGUGAUCUUAGUGAUGGUAGGUUUUGGUGGGUUGCGAGAUCUCAAUGACCGUAGGUUUUGGUGGGUUACGAGGUCUCAAUGACGGUUGGUUUUCAGUGUCAGUCAUUUUUUUCAUUACGAGAUUUCAAAUACGGUCAAUUUUGGUGGGUUACGUGAUCUCAGUGAUGGUAGGUUUUGGUGGGUUUAGAGGUCUCAAUGAUGGUAUGUUUUGCUGGGUUAUGAGAUUUCAAAGACGAUCGGUAUUGUUUCGUUACGAGUUUUCAAUGACGAUCGGUUUUGUUCCUUCGCGAAACGGUUUUGGUUACGAGAUCUCAAUGGCGGUCGGUUUUGCUGGGUUACGAAAUUUCAAAGAUGGUCGGUAUUGUUUCGUUACCAGUUUUCAAUGGCAGUCGGUUUUGGUGGGUUACGAGAUCUCAAUGACAUUUGGUUUUGUUGGGUUAUGAGGUUUCAAAGGCGGUCUGUAUUGUUUCAUUACGAGUUUUCAAUGGCGGCCGGUUUUGGUGGGUUGUGAGAUCGCAUUGAUGGUAGGUUUUUAGUGUUUUUAGUUGUUUUUUUUAUUACGAGAUUUCAAAAACAGUCGGGUUUGUUUUGUUACAUGUUUUCAAGGGCAGUCUGUUUUGGUGGGUUAUGUGAUCUCAGUGAUGGUAGAUUUUGGUGGGUUACAAGAUCUCAAUGACGGUCGGUUUUGCUGGGAUAUGAGAUCUCAGUGACGGUAGCUUUGGUGGGUUACAAAAUCUCAUUGAUGGUAGGUUUUCAGUGUCAGUCGUUUUUUUGUUAAGAGUUUUCAAUGGCGGUCAGUUUUGGUCGGUUAUGUGAUCUCAGUGAUGGUAGGUUUUGGUGGGUUACGAGAUCUCAAUGGCGGUUAGUUUUGCUGGGUUAUGAGAUUGCAAAGACGGUCGGUAUUGUUUCGUUUCGAAUGGCGGUCGGUUUUGGUGGGUUGCGGGAUCUCAAUGACGGUAGAUUUUCAGUGUCGGUCGUUUUUUUAUUACGAGAUUUCAAAGACGGUUGGUUUGCUUUCGUUAAGAGUUUUCAAAGGCGGUAGGUUUUGUUCCUUUGCGAAACGGUUUUGGUUACGAGAUCUCAGCGACGGUCUAUUUUGGUGGGUUACAUGAUCUAAGUAACGAUAGGUUUUGAGAUCUCAAUGAUGGUAGGUUUUCAGUGUCAAUCUUUUUUUUUUUUUCAUUACAAGAUUUCAAAGACGGUCGGUUUUACUGGGUUACAAGAUCUUAGUGACGGUAGGUUUUGGUGGGUUACGAGAACUCAGUAAUGUCAGGUUUUCAAUGUCAGUUGUUUUUUUUCAUUACGAGAUUUCAAAAACAGUCAAUUUUGGUGGGUUACGUGAUCUCAGUGAUGGUAGGUUUUGGUGGGUUACGGAAUCUCAGUGAUGGUAGGUUUUGAUGAGUUACGAGAUCUCAAUUACGGUUGGUUUUGCUGGGUUAUGAGAUUUCAAUGAUUGUCGAAUUUGUUCGGAUAUGAGAUCUCAAUGAUUGUAGGUUUUGCUGGGUUAUGAGAUUUCAAAAAUGGUCGGUAUUGUUUCAUUACGAGUUUUCAAUGGCGGUCGGGUUUGGUGGGUUGCGGGAUCGCAAUGAUGGUACGUUUUCAGUGUCAUUCGUUUUUUUUAUUAUGAGAUUUCAAACACGGUCAAUUUUGGUGGGUUACGUGAUCUCAGUGAUGGUAGGUUUUGGUGGGUUACGAGAUCUAAAUGAUGGUUGGUAUUCAGUGUCAGUAAUUUUUUUUCAUUACGAGAUUUCAAAUACGGUCAGUUUUGGUGGGUUACGUGUUCUCAGUGAUGGUAGGUUUUGCUGGGUUAUGAGAUUUCAAAGACGAUCGGUAUUGUUUCGUUACGAGUUUUCAAUGACGAUCGGUUUUGUUCCUUUGCGAAACGGUUUUGGUUACGAGAUCUCAAUGGCGGUUGGUUUUGCUGGGUUACGAGAUUUCAAAGAUGGUCGGUAUUGUUUCGUUACCAGUUUUCAAUGGUGGUUGGUUUUGCUGGGUUACGAGAUUUCAAAGAUGGUCGGUAUUGUUUCGUUACGAGUUUUCAAUGACGAUCGGUUUUGUUCCUUUGGUAAACGGUUUUGGUUACGAGAUCUCAAUGGCGGUUGGUUUUGCUGGGUUACGAGAUUUCAAAGAUGGUCGGUAUUGUUUCGUUACCAGUUUUCAAUGGCGGUUGGUUUUGCUGGGUUACGAGAUUUCAAAGAUGGUCGGUUUUGUUUCGUUACGAGUUUUCAAUGGCGGUUGGUUUUGGUGGGUUACGUGAUCUCAGUGAUGGUAGGUUUUGGUGGGUUACAAGAUCUCAAUGACGAUUAGUUUUGCUGGGUUAUGAGAGUUCAAUGAUGGUCGGUUUUGUUCAGUUAUGAGAUCUCGAUGGCGGUCGGUUUUGCUGGGUUAUGAGAUUUCAAAGACGGUCGGCAUUGUUUCGUUACGAGUUUUUAAUGUGAAACGGUUUGGGUUACGAGAUCUCAAUGACGGUCGUUUUUGUUGGGUUAUGAGAUCUCAGUGAUGGUAGGUUUUGGUGGGUUAUAAAAUCUCAGUGAUGGUAGGUUUUCAGUCUCAGUCGUUUUUUUCAUUACGAGAUUUCAAAUACGGUUAAUUUUGUUGGGUUAUGAGAUCUCAAAGAUGGUAGGUUUUCAGUGUCUGUUGUUUUUUUUUCAUUACAAGAUUUCAAAGAUGGUUGGUUUCACUGGGUUACAAGAUCUUAGUGAUGGUAGGUUUUGGUGGGUUAUGAGAUCUCAAUGACGGUUGUUUUUGUUGGGUUAUGAGAUUUCAGUGAUGGUAGCUUUUGGUGGGUUACGAGAUCUCAGUGAUGGUAGGUUUUGGUGGGUUACGAGAUCUCCAUGGCCAUCGGUUUUGCUGAGUUAUGAGAUUUCAAAUACGGUCGGUUUUGUUUCGUUACGAGUUUUCAAUGACUGCCAAUUUUGUGCCUUUGCGAAACGGUUUUGGUUACGAGAUUUCAAUGACGGUCAGUUUUGCUGGGAUAUGAGAUUUCAAAGACGGUCAGUAUUGUUUCGUUACCAGUUUUCAAUGGCGGUCGGUUUUGGUGGGUUGCGUGAUCGCAAUGAUGGUAGGUUUGCAGUGUCAGUGGGGUUUUUCGAAUUUUCAGUGCCGGCUGGUUUUGUUUUGUUGCGAGUCUUCAGGGAUUGUCGGUAAAAUUCGCUUACAAGAUUUCAAUGACAUCUGUUUUAUUCAGUCAUGAGAUUUCAUUGACAGCCAGCUUUUUUCCAUUAAGAGAUUUCAAUGACAGUUGGUUUUGGUGGGUUGUGAGAUCUCAAUAAUGGUAGGUUUUGGUGGGUUACAAGAUCUCAAUUACGGUUUGAUUUUCUGGGUUAUGAAAUUUCAAUGAUGGUAUGUUUUGGUGGGUUAGGAGGUCUCAGUGAUGAGAUCGAAUAACGGUCAGUUUUGCUGGGUUUCAAUUACAUCUGUUUUAUUCUGUUAUUAUAUUUCAAUGAUGGCCAGUUUUGCUUGGUUACAAGAUUUCAAUGACAUCUGUUUUAUUCUGUUGUGAUAUUUCAAUGAUGGCUGGUUUUGUUCGGUUACGAGUCGGUUUUGGUGGGUUACGAGAUCUCAACGACAGUUAUUUUUGCUGGGUUACGAGAUCUCAGUGAUGGUAGGUUUUACUGGGUUAUGAGAUUUCAAUAACAGUCGGUUUUGGUGGGUUACGAGAUCUCAAUGAUGGCUGGUUAUAUUCGGUUACAAGAUUUCAAUGACAUCUGUUUUAUUCUGUUAUGAUAUUUCAGUGAUGGCCGGUUUUGUUCGAUUACGAGUCGGUUUUGGUGGGUUGCGAGAUCUCAAUGAUGGUAGGUUUUCAGUGUCAGUCGUUUUUUUUCUGUUAUACGAUUUCUUGUUCCUUUGUUUUUUUAUGAGAUUUCAAAGACGGUCGGUUUUGUUCGUUACAAUAUUUCAGUGACAGUUAGUUUUGUUCCAUUACGUGUUUUCAAUGAUGGUCGGUUAUAUUCGGUUACAAGAUUCCAAUGACAUCUGUUUUAUUUGGUUAUAUUUCAAUGAUGGCCGGUUUUGUUCGGUUAUGAAAUCUCAAUGAAUGUCGGUUUUGUUUCGUUACGAGAGUUCAAUGAUGGUCGGUUUUGUUCUUCUACGAAAUUUUAAAGACAGUUGAUUUAGUUUCAUUGCAAAAUUUCAAUGAUGGUUGGUUUUGUUCCUUUAAUAAGUCUCAAUUACGUUAAGUUUUGUUCCUUUAGGCUGGCCACACACUUGAAGAUUUUAAGCCUGAUUUUAAGCCCGAUUUGCACCCCUGAACGAUCUGGGUGCGUGUGUGGCCCGAUUCAAGGCUUGUCGCAAAUUAUUUUUUGUCCAUUACAUCUUCUAUUGUGUAGUGUCAUUACAGUUAUUUAAAGGGUUAGUUCACCCAAAAACCAAAAAUUCUGUCAUUAAUUACUCAUCAUGUAAUCACCCAUCAUGUCGUUCCACACCCGUAAGACCUUCGUUCAUCUUAGGAACACAAAAUGAGAUAUUAUUGAUAAAACCUGAGAGGUGUAUGACUUGUCCAUAGACUGCAAUUUAACCAACACUUUCAAGGUCCAGAAAGAUACUAAAGAUGUUGUCAAAAAAAGGUUGAUAUGACUACAGUGGUUCAACCUUACUUUUAUGAAGUGACAAGAAUAUUUUUUGUGUGCCAAAACAAAAAUAUCUAGUUUAUUCAACAAUGUCUUCUCUUCUGUGUUAUUUUCAUAUGUUGUUUAUGUCCAGCGCUUCCAGGUUCUACAUCAGAACGCUGACUCGUUAUUGGCCGGCUCCUGGAUCAGCAUCACACGCAUGCAUCUUGAUGCUCACAUGAUCAGCUUUGGCCAAUACUGAGCCGGCAUUUGGAUGUAAAUACGGAAUACUUCACUGUGCUUACUUACUACUGAGUUGGAGCUGGUUGGAGCUAUAAACUCUGCAGUGCUAUGGCCCUCCAGGAACUGAGUUUGAGACCACUGACUUAUAUGUUCAAUAAAUGUAUAAAUAUGUACCAUUUUUAUAAAUGUAUAAUACCAAUCUUAUGACAUGAAUUAAAUCUUUCAAGAUAUCAGCAGAGGAGGAUUAAACAACUCCACAAACAGCAUUACCAGCUUCACUUUUGACUAAACAGAUUGACUUAAUUUCACCAUUAAAUAAUUUUGUAUCUGUUUGGGACAGAAACAAGAUUUUUUUUCUAUACUGGCAGAUAAUUUUGCUUGUUUUAAGCAAAAACUCAAUAUUUACUUUUAUUUUAUUUUUUAAGAAAACACAUCACCUUAUUUUACUUAUCUAGUAAAAGCAUCUGGAAUUAAGAAUUUUUAGAUAUUUAGACUGGAAACAAGACAAAAAGAACUAAAUAAAAAAAAAGCAUUUUUUCCACAUAAUACACUUACAUUACAGACCCUAUGUUACAAUAACAUGAGAUCAUGCUAUAUUGUAGAAAUUAGUUAAAACUAAAAUGACAUGAUUAAGAUGACACACAAAAACAUCAAGAAUCAGCACAUAUAUCUCAAUAAUGGUGACAAUCAAAAGUGUCAUGCCAGAAUGCAUGCUGGGAACAAUAGUACAAAACUGCAUCACAGUAUGAAUAAAUUAUGCAACUGAAUUGUCCUUUUAUUUUCUUUAAUUCUAACCAUUUGCUUAUAUUUUUGCUGUGGUUUUUGUUCUGUCAUUUAGUAGCUUUUUGUGAUGUCCAGGGUUGAUCAGAUUGUCUGAAUAUUUUGUUGUCACCAUUGUUGAGAUUCUUACGCUGAUAUCUGUGUUUGCCAUGGUAGUUUAUUUAUCAAAGAAAGCUUUUAUUCAUUUAGAGUAGGAUUAAGAGGAAUGAUAUAGUCAACUUAUUACCUGUAAUAAGCAAAGCCAAUAUCACAAAUUUCAUGACACCUGAUUACAGACUCAUACCAUUUAUGUGGCCUGUGAAAUGCAUAGAUGACAUGCUGAUAUGAACAAUAACACUUUGUGCACAAAGCAGUGCCUAGCAAGCUUUAAAUUUCAUAACAUAUUUAAUUUGUGAUAGAAUAGAGGCUUAUAUAAAUAAAUAAAAAUGUAAAUAUCAUGUCUUUUCAAUCUGGUCUUCAGUUAAAUACAUUUAUCCAAAGUAGUGGUGCAAAUAAAAGGGGGAAACAGUAUAAAAGGUGGUGAAAUUGAAAUUAAUGAAAUUAAAUGAGAGAACAUAACAAAUGUUUAAUGUGUUAAUCAAUAGCAAAAAUUACUUUAAAUGAUUAGAUUAUUCCCUGUGAAAUAAAUAUUAAGGUCAAAGUGUACCAAGUGGGGCUGAUUUAUUUGUUUUCCCUAAAGCAGGCAUUAUAUGCGUUCCAAACAGUUACUUAACUAUAGUCAUACAUUAUGUUGAAAGUGAACUGGCCAGUAUAUGACACAGCAGAGAGGGCAAACUUCGAAGAUACAACCAUGAUGAAGUUUCUGGUCUUUGCUGUUCUGGUUGUUGGACGUAAGAAGCUUUUAAAGACUGAUCAUAUAUAGUAGUCUGACUGUUUUUAAGGUCUGGUAAUGACAUGCAUGGACAGUAGCUCUUAAUUUUCAUUCAAAUGCUUACAACUUUAUAUUUUUUACAUUUAAUUUUUUUUUAUAACAUUUAAAUAUGUUGAUAAAUGUUUAAACAAUUUUAUAACUUUUAAAAUGCCUAACAAUAUUUAUUGCUAUUAAAAAAAGCAUAAUGUGUUAUGUUUUACCUCAUCUUACGGAUGUGGGCUGCCCACCUACCCUCCUAUUGUGUCGAGGGUUGUGGGGGUGUGGAUGUCCGCCCUAACAGCUGGCCCUGGCAGGAAAAUGCACAUUCCAUUAAUCAUUCCAUUAAUUUUUGUAAUUUAACAGUUUAUUAAACCUUUAGACAAAACAUUAAAAUAAAAGUUUGCAUUUUGUUGUUGUUGUUGUCUUCUGUUCUUCUCAUCCAUCUUUUUCGAUUGUCAAUAACUAGCAAAUGGACCCCUUACUGAUAUCCUGCAGCAGGCUCUCCUGCCUGUGGUGGAUUACGUCACCUGCUCUAAGUCUGACUGGUGGGGCUCUCAGGUCACACAAAACAUGGUCUGCGCCGGUGAAGAUGGUGUUGUUGCUGGUAAUGUAAGGAGAUACUACUGACUUAUAUAUAUUUGUAAUCUUUAAUUACAAUUAACUUGAAUUGGCGUACAAUAACUCUCUAAACAUAGGCUACUUCAGGCAAGAUGAAAUGAAAAAUGAAAAUGAAAGCAAGUUCAGAUGGCUCAAUAAAGCUUGAAUACACUACACAAAAUCUGAACAGAUUUUAAAAUGCUAGGUAUCAUACGUUUGCUGACUUUGUAAAGAAUAAAACUGGGCAUUAUACAUUGACUGAGGAUCACACCCUAUCAGACUUUCACGUCAUUCUGAACAUAUGCAGAAACAUGCGCCUCCUGGCUAGGAGGCAAAUGGCAGAUGAAAACAGUGUUCUGAAAUCCAUGGUGAAAGGUCCAUGGUAUUGUGAGCUUUGGUUCAGGCCUGAGCUGCAUCCAAUACAGGAAGCCCACCGUUUUCAUUCCUUAGAGUGGCUACACUGACCGGAUCAGCAAGGUAAGUGUUUCAUAUUAACAAACAUGCAAAUGUCAUUUUGGAUAGUGUUUGUCAUAAUGGAAAAUACUGUGAUACUAUUGAAAAUCUUUUCCCUUUCUAAUCUCUUACAGAACAUGGCCAGCUAUUAAAGAUCAAACAGAAAAAUGGGUUUUGUAUCAUUGAUGCUUAAACAAUAAAAAUAUUAAACGAAAAGAAAGUUGUUUAAAUGUAUUUGCGCUAUACGUUAAUUUAUUUUUCAUUAUUUACAACAUUAUAAAUACACAAUUGAAAUGCACUUAUGACACAUAAGAGACAUAAGUUGUUAGUGGUGUUAGUCAAAAUUAUGAGAUCUCGUAGCUCAGAGAGUCAGUUUCAUGGUUUUAAUUUUAAGUUGCAAUUGACCAUUGUUUGUUAGCAUUUUACAAAUGUUCUUCUGACAUUUCCAGUCUCUCACUUUAAAAUUAAAUACAUCAGAUUCAGAGUACAAAUAUCUUCUGCUUUGGUUGGUAUUUGAAACCUAGUGGUUGUACUGUAAGUAGGUACCAGAGGCAUUUUAUUGGAACUGACCAUACUUAUUGAAUUUUUAAAUUCAUGAAUUUGCAAAAGAAUCCGAAACAGCAACAGGACAUGUGGCAUAUUCUCAGUGUAAGCUGUUAUUAAACAUGAUAUUUCAUGCGUAUGUAUAGCCUACAUACAAUAACAUCUUGAUGUAUUAUUGAAAACAAUGACCGAGAUUCAAAUAUUCAAUAAUAGUAAACUACCAAAAAGUGCCCAUGUGCAGGUUUGUUGUCAUGCAGAGGGGACACACAUUAAAAUUAAUUAUCUAGAUUUAGUGGUACAUGUAAAAAACAAAUUCUUCUUGCAUCAUUAACAGUCACAGCAAACAAUACAGAAACACUAUUUUUGCCACAAACAUUGCUUUAAUUGAUUUAAAACAUUUUGAGCACCCUCUACAUUUAUCUUGGCAAUAUUUCUAUAUUUAACCAUGGCAAUAUUCUGGAUUGAAAGAGGAAUUUUUGAAGACUCAGUCGAACAUGAUAAAUCAGAUCUUUAUCUUGAUCUGCUGAAACUCACUCACUGUGCAGCCACAGUGAUGUACCUCGGCUCCA
Molecule: long non-coding RNA, 18732 nt
Organism: Ctenopharyngodon idella (grass carp)
Lineage: Eukaryota; Metazoa; Chordata; Actinopteri; Cypriniformes; Xenocyprididae
Exons: 5
Source: RefSeq, a predicted model, not a curated record